This 209-nucleotide long non-coding RNA is filed under the name Elaeis guineensis (African oil palm). Its description in RNAcentral is "long non-coding RNA (EGUI_LNC077925)". Lineage: Eukaryota; Viridiplantae; Streptophyta; Magnoliopsida; Arecales; Arecaceae. The record is from RNAcentral.
CUAUAGAUCUAGUUCAUAUGCUGAAAUUAAUAUAAACUAAUUUUAGGAUGAAUGAAUGAAAGCUUGUAAUCAGUUCAUAUACCUGAAUUGCUUUCUCUUUGCUUCAAACCUAUAAUUGGGGUUGAAUCCAAUUUAAUCCUUAGAUCUGGGGCUGAAUAGGUUCUAAAUCAGCAGCACAAGCAUCCUACCUCUAUGAGUAUCCACAGGAC